RNAcentral lists this long non-coding RNA (2234 nucleotides) under Ovis aries (sheep). RNAcentral describes it as "lncRNA (ENSOARG00000025976.1)". The record is from RNAcentral. Lineage: Eukaryota; Metazoa; Chordata; Mammalia; Artiodactyla; Bovidae.
GGUGUUUCUCGACCUAGCGCAGUUUCUGCAUGUGAGCCGCCGCCACCAUCCCUUCUCGCCUCCGCACACUCAGCGUUUCUACCCUCUCUGCCUAGAGCUUUGCCGUUGGAGAGUGUAAUGAAGAUGCUGUAAAUGAAUUAGUGAAGGAAGGUGAAAUGGGUGCUGAAGAGGAGACACAGAAAACCGAAGGGACAAAAAGAAAGGCUGAGAACGUUCUGGCCAGGAAGAGAAAACACAGUGGCCUCUCACCACAACACGAGGAUGAGGAGGAUGCCAACAGGAAAUUUGGAGGGAGUGUUAGGGAGAAGGAAGAUGCAGCUGCAGAGCAGGAAAAAGGCACCAAGUCAGAGGAUGCUAUGGAAGAGAAGGAGGAGGAAAUGUUGGCCAGCUCCCUCAGUGACACAGAACCAAAAUCAGAAGUGCCUCUGAGUACGCAAGUUAAAACAGGAGAGGAGAAUACAGAGACAGCUUCAAGUAAAGUGAGAAGACGCAGAAGAACAAGAGAAACCUAAAGAACGAGAAGAAGUUGAAGUCACCAAGGUUUUUGAUGUUGCUGGUGAAAAAGUCAGGUUUCUCAGGAGACAGGGAAGGCCUGGUAUGUCCCCAGAUCAUGAGCCUCCCAGAUCAAAAGGUGGCCAACAUGCCACUGAGAAAGAGCAGAGGUCAAUUACUAAUACUUCGAGGAAGGAUGAAUCGACUAAGCGAAAGUGGAAACGACAUUCAAAUGUGGUCAUGACUGGUGAAGAAAGUAAACUCCGAUGCUGUAAAGAAGAAUAUUGCAUAGGAACCUGGAAUGUUAGAUCUAUGAAUCCAGGGGGAGUAAGGAAGUGGGUGAGACCUCUCAAGAAGCAAAAUCCGUAUUCAAGCCAACUGAAAAGGGCAAACCUCAGGCUAAUGUCCCUUCAAAUGUGUCAUCAGUUCCUGGUGGAUCAGGGGUUUCUAAGGAAGUGGGUGAAACAUCUCAAGAAGGGAAAUCCGUCUUCAAGCAAAAUGAGAAAGAAGAACCUCAGUGCAGUGUCCCUUCGGCAGUGCCAUCACUUCCUGCUGGGUCAAGGCCUGAAAACUGUGACCUUCAGAAGAACCAGGAUUGCAGCAAUUAAGUAUCUGACUUUAUCCUUAACACCUGAACUGCUCCUCUGGUUUGAAUGAAGUUCUUAUUACAACUGCAGUGCAUACCCAGCGUUUCCUAGGAGACCAUUUCCCGGGAUGUGAAGUCCUGGUGCCAUUAGCUGUCCAUAUGCAGAAGGUUCUGUGUACCUGCGUUUCUUUUUUCUGUAGUCUGUUUGGCUGGUUGUCACUUAACUUUUCAGUUAGUUUAUUUCACUAAAUGAUGUACUCAAAAUGAUAACAUGUUUGUACCGUGGGAAAUUAUUUCAAUUUUAUUUUUCUACUGAUGUUUCUAAUUCUGGUAUAAGUGUUUAUCAAUAAAGAAUUACUUUAUAUAUAUAUAUAUAGUGGAUUAUUAGCCAUAAAAAGAAGGAAUUUGAGUCAAUUCUAGUGAGGUGGAUGAAACUAGUGCCUGUUAUACAGAAUGAAGUAAGUUAGAAAGAGUACAAUAAAUAUAAUGUAUUAACACAUAUAUGUGAAAUCUAGAAAAAUGGUAUUAAUAAACCUAUUUGAAGGGAAGGAAUGGAGAUACAGGUAUAGAGAAUGGACAUGUGGACACACUGGGGAAGGAAAAAGUGGAAUGGACCGAGAAAGUACCAUUGACAUAUAUACCCUGCUGCUGCUAAGUCGCUUCAGUCGUGUCCAACUCUGUGCGACCACAUAGAUGGCAACCCACCAUGCUCCGCCAUCCUUGGUAUUCUCCAGGCAAGAACACUGGAGUGGGUUGCCAUUUUCUACCAUGUAUAAAACAGAUAGCUGGUGAGAUGUUGCUAUAUAACACAAGGAGCCCAGCCUGGCAUUCUCUAAUGACAUAGGGGGUGGGACGGGGAAGGGGAGGGAGGUUCAAGAGAGAGAUUAUAUAUGCAUAAUUAUGACUGAUUUGCUCUGUUGUACAGCAGAAACCAAUACAAUAUUAUAAAGCAAAUUUUCUCCAAUUAAAAACUAAAUUAAUAAAAAACAGCUAGUAAAUUAUCUAAGAAAAAUUGCCAGUUACUUAUUUCUUAAAAGCUAUUAUAUGCAUGUACUUUAAAAAAGAUGAAGCAAAAUGGAUGAAAUCAAAUUAGCAAUAAAAAUACAUGUUUAUAGUAGCUAUAUGAGUUUCAUUUAAAGGGAAACACAUUGGUAGA